CGCGGAGAAUAAUCACGAUCCAAAUGAGCUAAUUUGUAAAUUUUGCGACUGCCGUCCUCCUUGCGACGCGGCCUCCCCGCCCUCCCCUCCGAGCGCAGGCGGCAGACACCCGGCGUCUAUAGCAAACGCACGACCCACGGGAGUCGCAUUGGCUUCCGGUGCACCUGCUCCGGUUCCGAAUGGAUAUCCUGUUCGGGGCGGAGAGCUCCAGGUAUUCGCCAUCUUGGCAGAGGACGGCGGCCGAUGGCAGCGACGCUACUAAGGACAGAACGGAUGGUGGGAGGCAGCAGCCGGCAUUGGAGGAGGAGAGGGUGGAGACGAUCUGGAAGAAGAUGCUGCCCUCCAUUGGACUAGAAAGAGGUUUCAGAAGCGCCCCAGGAGAUUUCAUAAUCAUGCAGCUUCAUCUCUUUCCAGUGUCCUUCACUUUCUCUCUUGGGACCAAGUCACAUCAUUUUCGCCGUGCAAUUCUCCAUGGUGGCGCAAAAUAUAGAGCAAGUGGCAGAGUUUUGUUCGCUUGUAAGGUUUACUGAGAAUUACGGAAUGUACUCAGGAAGCCACUUUUUUGAAAGGGCUUGAGAUGAUGUUACUGUUAGUAGUCUAUCAGUUGUCUGGUGAUGCUGCUGCAGAUUCAACUGCCUAUAUACUUC
Molecule: long non-coding RNA, 647 nt
Organism: Panicum virgatum (switchgrass)
Lineage: Eukaryota; Viridiplantae; Streptophyta; Magnoliopsida; Poales; Poaceae
Exons: 2
Source: RefSeq, a predicted model, not a curated record